RNAcentral lists this ribosomal RNA (180 nucleotides) under uncultured bacterium. Its description in RNAcentral is "partial 16S ribosomal RNA". It matches the Rfam family "Bacterial small subunit ribosomal RNA", at positions 331 to 508 of the family's 1533-position model. The record is from RNAcentral.
CCAGACUCCUACGGGAGGCAGCAGUGAGGAAUAUUGGUCAAUGGACGAGAGUCUGAACCAGCCAAGUAGCGUGCAGGAAGACGGCCCUAUGGGUUGUAAACUGCUUUUGUAAGGGAAUAAAGUGAGUCUCGUGAGACUUUUUGCAUGUACCUUAUGAAUAAGGACCGGCUAAUUCCGUGC